AGCAGAGUGGGAUAGUGGUUUUUGCAUUGGACUAGGACCCUGGAGGCCAGGGUUCAAUUCCCAACUCAUCAA
This is a non-coding RNA of Phrynosoma platyrhinos (Desert horned lizard), 72 nucleotides long. The record is from the annotation of a GenBank genome assembly. NCBI's taxonomy places the organism in Eukaryota, Metazoa, Chordata, Lepidosauria, Squamata, Phrynosomatidae.